GUUUAAGAACAUUGAUAAGUGCUAUGAAAAGAUAACUAAAUUAUAAAUUAUUCAGCACUUAUCACUCCCCCAAAUCUAUGUUUUGCUAGUCCUCGAGCAAAAUAAAACUAGAAAAGAAGAAUUCUAACUCACUUUCACAGGCAUCGCGAUUGCAUUUACCAUAUGCAACAAGGCUUUAAACCCCUAGGUUACCCUAGUGGACGAGUUAUAGUCUCGUGAGAGUUUUCAGUGAAGAUACCCACAAACUUUAAUAAAUCAUUUUUUUAUUAUU
Molecule: long non-coding RNA, 271 nt
Filed under: Phoenix dactylifera (date palm)
Lineage: Eukaryota; Viridiplantae; Streptophyta; Magnoliopsida; Arecales; Arecaceae
Description: long non-coding RNA (PDAC_LNC015595)
Source: RNAcentral